RNAcentral lists this ribosomal RNA (404 nucleotides) under Bacillota bacterium. RNAcentral describes it as "Firmicutes bacterium partial 16S ribosomal RNA". It matches the Rfam family "Bacterial small subunit ribosomal RNA", at positions 355 to 776 of the family's 1533-position model. The record is from RNAcentral. Lineage: Bacteria; Bacillati; Bacillota.
UCGGGAAUUUUGGGCAAUGGGGGAAACCCUGACCCAGCAACGCCGCGUGAAGGAUGAAGUAUUUCGGUAUGUAAACUUCGAAAGAAUAGGAAGAAUUAAUGACGGUACUAUUUAUAAGGUCCGGCUAACUAAGUGCCAGCAGCCGCGGUAAUACGUAGGGACCAAGCGUUGUUCGGAUUUACUGGGCGUAAAGGGCGCGUAGGCGGUGCGGUAAGUCACUUGUGAAAUCUCUGAGCUUAACUCAGAACGGCCAAGUGAUACUGCAGUGCUAGAGUGUGGAAGGGGCAAUCGGAAUUCUUGGUGUAGCGGUGAAAUGCGUAGAUAUCAAGAGGAACACCUGAGGUGAAGACGGGUUGCUGGGCCAACACUGACGCUGAGGCGCGAAAGCCAGGGGAGCAAACGGG